RNAcentral lists this ribosomal RNA (467 nucleotides) under uncultured bacterium. Its description in RNAcentral is "partial 16S ribosomal RNA". It matches the Rfam family "Bacterial small subunit ribosomal RNA", at positions 29 to 507 of the family's 1533-position model. The record is from RNAcentral.
ACGCACGCUGGCGGCGUGCUUCACACAUGCAAGUCGCACGGAAAGGCCCUGCUUUUGUGGGGUUCUCGAGUGGCGAACGGGUGAGUAACACGUUAGUAACCUGCCCUUUACUUUGGGAUAACUUCAGGAAACUGGGGCUAAUACCGGAUAGGAGCUCCUGCUGCAUGGUGGGGGUUGGAAAGUUUCGGCGGUUGGGGAUGGACUCGCGGCUUAUCAGCUUUUUGGUGGGGUAGUGGCUUACCAAGGCUUUGACGGGUAGCCGGCCUGAGAGGGUGACCGGCCAAAUGGGGACUGAGAUACGGCCCAGACUCCUACGGGAGGCAGCAGUGGGGAAUAUUGCACAAUGGGCGGAAGCCUGAUGCAGCAACGCCGCGUGCGGGAUGACGGCCUUCGGGUUGUAAACCGCUUUCGCCUGUGACGAAGCGUGAGUGACGGUAAUGGGUAAAGAAGCACCGGCUAACUACGUG